Molecule: ribosomal RNA, 507 nt
Filed under: uncultured bacterium
Lineage: Bacteria
Description: bacterial SSU rRNA
Rfam family: Bacterial small subunit ribosomal RNA
Source: RNAcentral
GACGAACGCUGGCGGCGUGGAUUAGGCAUGCAAGUCGAACGGUAUCAUCCUUUCGGGGGUGAGAGAGUGGCGAACUGGUGAGUAACACGUAGGUUAUCUACCCUCAAGACGGGGACAACCCAGGGAAACUUGGGCUAAUACCGGAUGUGAGCAACUUUUAGUUGUUUGAAAGGUGGCGUAAGCUGUCGCUUGGGGAUGAGCCUGCGUCCUAUUAGUUAGUUGGUGAGGUAACGGCUCACCUAGGCAAUGAUAGGUAGGCGGCCUUAACGGGUGGUCGCCCACACUGGGAUUGAGAUACGGCCCAGACUCCUACGGGAGGCAGCAGUCGAGAAUAGUCUACAAUGGUCGGAAGACUGAUAGUGCGACGCCGCGUGAACGAUGAAUCCCUUCGGGUGUAAAGUUCUUUUAUAUGUGAGCAGUGCUUCUUAUAUUAACAGUUAUGGGGAAGAGAUAUUAGCAUAUGAAUAAGCAACGGCUAACUCCGUGCCAGCAGCCGCGGUAAUCUCG